UACAGAGGUGCCAAGCGUUAGGCGGAAUCACUGGGCUUAAAGCGCGUGUAGGCGGGGCGUUAAGUGUCCGAGUGAAAUCCCACGGCUCAACCGUGGAACUGCCGGGCAUACUGGCGAUCUUGAGGCAUUCAGGGGCGAGCGGAACAAAUGGUGGAGCGGUGAAAUGCGUAGAUAUCAUUUGGAACGCCAAUGGUGAAAACAGCUCGCUGGGAAUGAUCUGACGCUGAGACGCGAAAGCCAGGGGAGCGAACGGG
RNAcentral lists this ribosomal RNA (254 nucleotides) under uncultured bacterium. RNAcentral's name for it is "partial 16S ribosomal RNA". It matches the Rfam family "Bacterial small subunit ribosomal RNA", at positions 524 to 776 of the family's 1533-position model. The record is from RNAcentral.